AUGAACGUUGGCGGCAUGGAUUAGGCAUGCAAGUCGCACGAAUCCCAGCAAUGGGGGAAGUGGCGUAAGGGGCAGUAAGGCAUGGGUGACCUACCCGGGGGUUGGGCAUAGCCUGUAGAAAUACAGGGUAAUUCCCGAUGAUGUCGUAAGACCAAAGCUCCGGUGCCCUCGGAGGGGCCCAUGUGGUAUUAGCUAGUUGGUGAGGUAACGGCUCACCAAGGCGAAGAUGCCUAGCGGGUGUGAGAGCACGACCCGCGCCACUGGCACUGAGACACUGGCCAGACACCUACGGGUGGCUGCAGUCGAGAAUCUUCGGCAAUGGGCGCAAGCCUGACCGAGCGAUGCCGCGUGGGCGACGAAGGCCUUCGGGUUGUAAAGCCCUGUCGAGGGGGAGAAAAGGGCAACCUUGAUCUAUCCCUGGAGGAAGGACGGGCUAAGUUCGU
Molecule: ribosomal RNA, 443 nt
Filed under: uncultured bacterium
Lineage: Bacteria
Description: bacterial SSU rRNA
Rfam family: Bacterial small subunit ribosomal RNA
Source: RNAcentral